CGUAGGGUCCAAGCGUUAAUCGGAAUUACUGGGCGUAAAGCGUGCGCAGGCGGCUUUGCAAGUCAGACGUGAAAUCCCCGGGCUUAACCUGGGAAUGGCGUUUGAAACUACGGAGCUGGAGUGUGGCAGAGGGAGGUAGAAUUCCACGUGUAGCGGUGAAAUGCGUAGAUAUGUGGAGGAAUACCGAUGGCGAAGGCAGCCUCCUGGGCCAACACUGACGCUCAUGCACGAAAGCGUGGGGAGCAAACAGGAUUAGAUACCCUGGUAGUCCACGCCCUAAACUAUGUCAACUAGUUGUUGGGGGAGUUAAAUCCCUUAGUAACGCAGCUAACGCGUGAAGUUGACCGCCUGGGGAGUACGGUCGCAAGAUUA
RNAcentral lists this ribosomal RNA (372 nucleotides) under uncultured organism. RNAcentral describes it as "bacterial SSU rRNA". It matches the Rfam family "Bacterial small subunit ribosomal RNA", at positions 526 to 896 of the family's 1533-position model. The record is from RNAcentral.